Molecule: long non-coding RNA, 2017 nt
Filed under: Homo sapiens (human)
Lineage: Eukaryota; Metazoa; Chordata; Mammalia; Primates; Hominidae
Description: HSALNT0206597
Source: RNAcentral
CUGUGACCCCAUAGGACUCAGCCUAUGAGGAACUGGGGGAGGGACCUGCGCACUAGGGGAUAGUUUGCUUGUUAAAACUGCGCUGGGUGUACCUGCUCAUCAAACACCCGAUCUUGCAAGACCAUUAUUAAAAGUCUCGCUUUUGCUGUUCUUGGAUCUCUGAGUCCAUUCUUUGCAUUUGGAUGGGCAAAGGUGCACACCUGAAAGAACUCUUCAGCUACCGGAUAUGAACAUGAAGGACUGCUGGUACCCACACUCAGUCAAUGACUCACAGGAGCCUUGUUACUUUGGCAAGAAUUCUAUGUUCAUUUAAUAAGUUUGCAGAGACGGACGGAAAUCUGCUUUAUUACUCUCAUCCCUCAGCCCGGAAAGCCAAAUCCUUUAUCAGUACAGCUGCUGCUUCAUUCCACAUGUCUGAAGACACCGCUGUCUCCUCAAUCAGCAGCUUUGGCAGAGAGUCAGGUUUGCAAAAAAAUGCAUUAUAAAGUCUCUGUUACACUGCCUCCUCUUCCUCUUUUCCUCUAAGCAGCUAUUUCCACAAGGGUUGGAGGGGUAAGGGAACAGGUGGUCUUACAAGAACCAUGAUGGAGUUGAACCACAGAAGAGAUAGUGACAGCCAAGGGUGCAACCUGCUGCAGUAACAGGCAGGAAAAAAGCUUCUGAUUUCUCCCUUCCUGCUACUUUCCAUUCUCCUGCCAGGGCCUCCUUUUAUUGGAAUCUAGUGAGAAGCCAGCUAGAGAGGAAGGCUGGGAAACUUGGUUUGCAGAAUAUAGACCCUGGGGAAGGGCAGGGCAUGGCUUUUGGGUCAACAGGCCAAGAACAGCGCAUGCAGAAUACUUUCUGAGCUUUGCAAUUCCAAGAGUAUCUUUAUUUUGCACUAAUACAUGAAUCUAUAUUGGUUUGGCCCAGAAUUCUUGGUUCUAUUCCUGGUCUCCCUAAAGUUUGUAACAUUGCUCUGUUACCAUCUAGCUACUGGGAUUUUCCAUAAAUAAUUGGAUUUCAUUUUUAUUCUCUCAUUUUAUUUUUCCCAUUGCAAUGUGUGUGCUGUCUUUUCUUUAUUCUUGGAAUUCAGAAAUUAUACCCGAUAGAUUUCAAAAUUAUCCUGGGAUGUUAGGAUGCCUUUCAAAUGACAGAUUCAAGGUGUUCUUUUACUUCUGGCUAGUUUUCUGUAUUAUUUGGGGCUUUCUUCUGCUACAAUUUUCAUUAGUCAUGCCUUAUCUCUUGGCUGUCUGUCUUCCAAGCUGCUCUCUUCCAGUAAUUUUCCUCACAGUUUCUUUUACUAUGUUUUCCACUUGAAAUUUUUCCACCUGUUUUCCAAAACAAGUAAUAGAGUUUCUGAACUAAGAUUAUUUAUGAGGUUAUGGUUUCUUUAUAGAUUCAAACACAGUGCUUAACUAAUAGCAGAUGCUUAGUAAAGGUGUGUUGAAUAAGAGUAUAUAAACUAGUCAAUCAUAACUAUUUUCAGUUUACAGAUUAUUAAAUAUAUGAACAAUAGUAUAGAUGUACACAGAUAUGGGUAUAUAUGUGAAUGACUGUUUAAAUAUGAAAAUAAUGCUGCAAACAUAAAGAUGUGCAUUUCUAAGAGUUACUACAGAAUACAUAAACUAGGAAUUUUCUGCAUAAAGGAAAUCAUGGGAUAAUGUACAAGACAAAUGCAGUUUUUCUAUGCACUUUUUCUCUAAUUUCCUUUUUAAAAAUUCAAAUCAGGAAGCGAUGGUGUCCAUACAUUUCUUGAACAUUGUGCUUAUAGAAAUAUGUUUGUUGCAUGCCUCAAGUAAUAACAGAACACAACUCUUUGAGUUCUAGUCUAUAUUAAAUGACUUAAAUGUUACUCACUUCAUUUUCUCAAAGAGGAAUAAGUAUAACAAUACUGUUCCCAGAAACAGUUUUUAAAAAUGAUAUAAAUGAGACUGAAAUUUUAGAAGAGGAGCUAUGUAACACUUUUACCAUAUUACUAUUAAAAUCACUUUUAGAAAGCACCUAGCAACAGAGAACCUACUUAAAAUGAAAACGAAAA